CCUACGGGCGGCAGCAGUGAGGAAUAUUGGUCAAUGGACGAGAGUCUGAACCAGCCAAGUAGCGUGAAGGAUGACUGCCCUAUGGGUUGUAAACUUCUUUUAUAUGGGAAUAAAAUGUUCCACGUGUGGGAUUUUGUAUGUACCAUAUGAAUAAGGAUCGGCUAACUCCGUGCCAGCAGCCGCGGUAAUACGGAGGAUCCGAGCGUUAUCCGGAUUGAUUGGGUUUAAAGGGAGCGUAGGUGGAUUGUUAAGUCAGUUGUGAAAGUUUGCGGCUCAACCGUAAAAUUGCAGUUGAAACUGGCAGUCUUGAGUACAGUAGAGGUGAGCGGAAUUCGUGGUGUAGCGGUGAAAUGCUUAGAUAUCACGAAGAACUCCGAUUGCGAAGGCAGCUCACUGGACUGCAACUGACACUGAGGCUCGAAAGUGUGGGUAUCAAACAGGAUUAGAUACCCGUGUAGUC
RNAcentral lists this ribosomal RNA (460 nucleotides) under uncultured bacterium. RNAcentral's name for it is "partial 16S ribosomal RNA". It matches the Rfam family "Bacterial small subunit ribosomal RNA", at positions 338 to 795 of the family's 1533-position model. The record is from RNAcentral.